GUUACCUACGGGGGGCAGCAGUGAGGAAUAUUGGUCAAUGGUCGGGAGACUGAACCAGCCAAGCCGCGUGAGGGAGGAAGGUACAGAGUAUCGUAAACCUCUUUUGUCAGGGAACAAAGGCGGGGACGUGUCCCCGGAUGAGUGUACCUGAAGAAAAAGCAUCGGCUAGCUCCGUGCCAGCAGCCGCGGUAAUACGGAGGAUGCGAGCGUUAUCCGGAUUUAUUGGGUUUAAAGGGUGCGCAGGCGGUCUGGUAAGUGAGCGGUCAAAGCCCGGGGCGCAACCCCGGCCCGCCGUUGAAACUGGG
This 305-nucleotide ribosomal RNA is filed under the name uncultured bacterium. RNAcentral describes it as "bacterial SSU rRNA". It matches the Rfam family "Bacterial small subunit ribosomal RNA", at positions 334 to 637 of the family's 1533-position model. The record is from RNAcentral.